GUGUUUGCUUUGGCAACACAUAUACUAAAACUGGGACGAUACAGAGAAGUUUAGCAUGGUCCCUGCACAAGGAUGACACAAAAAUUAAUGAAGGGUUCCAAUUUUAC
RNAcentral lists this small nuclear RNA (107 nucleotides) under Saimiri boliviensis boliviensis (Bolivian squirrel monkey). Lineage: Eukaryota; Metazoa; Chordata; Mammalia; Primates; Cebidae. The record is from RNAcentral.